AUUCUGGUUGAUCCUGCCAGUAGUUAUAUGCUUGUCUCAAAGAUUAAGCCAUGCAUGUCUAAGUACACACGAAUUAAAAGUGAAACCGCAAAAGGCUCAUUAUAUCAGUUAUGGUUCCUUAGAUCGUUAACAGUUACUUGGAUAACUGUGGUAAUUCUAGAGCUAAUACAUGCAAUUAAAACACGGACCUUCUGGGACGUGUGCUUUUAUUAGACUAAAACCAAGCGAUCAAUUGAUCGUUAUAUUGGUUGAACUCUAGAUAACAUGCAGAUCGUAUGGUCUUGUACCGACGACAGAUCUUUCAAAUGUCUGCCCUAUCAACUUUUGAUGGUAGUAUCUAGGACUACCAUGGUUGCAACGGGUAACGGGGAAUCAGGGUUCGAUUCCGGAGAGGGAGCCUGAGAAACGGCUACCACAUCUAAGGAAGGCAGCAGGCGCGUAAAUUACCCACUCCCAGCUCGGGGAGGUAGUGACGAAAAAUAACAAUACAGGACUCAUAUCCGAGGCCCUGUAAUUGGAAUGAGUACACUUUAAAUCCUUUAACAAGGACCAAUUGGAGGGCAAGUCUGGUGCCAGCAGCCGCG
Molecule: ribosomal RNA, 584 nt
Organism: Drosophila willistoni
Lineage: Eukaryota; Metazoa; Arthropoda; Insecta; Diptera; Drosophilidae
Rfam family: Eukaryotic small subunit ribosomal RNA
Source: Rfam